This 719-nucleotide long non-coding RNA is filed under the name Homo sapiens (human). Its description in RNAcentral is "HSALNT0045538". The record is from RNAcentral. Lineage: Eukaryota; Metazoa; Chordata; Mammalia; Primates; Hominidae.
GGCUCUUUGCACGCGCGUGUGCUGCCGGUGUGUAAGGCAGGGGGGCGAGAACCCGGGCGCACGCGCAGCGUCUCACCUGCUUCUGCAGGGCCUUUGUGGAUGUGUAAUAUCUUGGGUAAAAAUCAUGGUGCCAGGCAGGGAGCUUGACCCAGCGUUUCCUGAAAAUUUCUGGAAAAACCUGAAGAAGGAAAACAUUUGACCUUGGAAUAAACUAAGGUUGACCUUAAAGCUGGUCUGGUUGCUCACCGGAGGAGCGACAACGACCCCUAACAGACGUAAGGAAUCGGGAAUUAAACUUGGAAUAUUGGCAGGACAAGCGUUUAGAAAGUUUCUUCCACUCUUUGACCGAGUAUUGGUUGAAAGGAGUGCUGCUGAAACUGUAACCAAAGGAGGCAUUAUGCUUCCAGAAAAAUCUCAAGGAAAAGUAUUGCAAGCAACAGUAGUCGCUGUUGGAUCGGGUUCUAAAGGAAAGGGUGGAGAGAUUCAACCAGUUAGCGUGAAAGUUGGAGAUAAAGUUCUUCUCCCAGAAUAUGGAGGCACCAAAGUAGUUCUAGAUGACAAGGAUUAUUUCCUAUUUAGAGAUGGUGACAUUCUUGGAAAGUACGUAGACUGAAAUAAGUCACUAUUGAAAUGGCAUCAACAUGAUGCUGCCCAUUCCACUGAAGUUCUGAAAUCUUUCGUCAUGUAAAUAAUUUCCAUAUUUCUCUUUUAUAAUAAAC